Molecule: long non-coding RNA, 4479 nt
Organism: Oncorhynchus keta (chum salmon)
Lineage: Eukaryota; Metazoa; Chordata; Actinopteri; Salmoniformes; Salmonidae
Exons: 3
Source: RefSeq, a predicted model, not a curated record
UAUAAGCUGACUCGGUGAGUGAGUUUAUUAGGAAGUGCAUUGGAGAUGUUGUACCCACUGUGACUAUUAAAACGUUCCCUAACUGGAAACUGAUUUUAUGGCAGCAUUCGGGCAAAACUGAAAGCGGGAACAACCGCAUUUAAUCAUGUCAAAGCGACUGGAAACAUGACCGAAUACAAACAGUGUAGCUAUUCCCUCUGCAAGGCAAUCAAACAAGCAAAGAGUCACUAUAGAGACAAAGUAGAGUUGCAAUUCAAAGGCUCAAACAUGACACAUAUGUGGCAGGGUCUACAGACAAUCACAGAUUGCAAAAAGAAAACCAGCUCUGUCGCGGACAUCAACAAAUUAAACUACUUCUUUGCACGCUUUGAGGACAAUAACGCGCCACCAUUACGACCUACUAACAAAGACUGUGGGCUCCUUCAACGUGGCUGACGUAAGUAAAACAUUUAAACGUGUUAACCCUCGCAAGGCUGUCCCAGAUGGCAUCCCUAGCCACGUCCUCAGAGCAUGCUCAUUCCAGCUGGCUAGUGUGUUUAAGGACAUAUUCAAUCAAUCCCUAUCCCAGUCUGCUGUCCCCACAAGCUUCAAGUUGGCCACCAUUGUUCCUGUUCCAAAGAAAGCUAAGGUCCACAGACGAUGCAAACGCCAUCACACUGAACACUGCCUUAUCCCAUCUGGACAAGAUGAAUACCUAUGUAAGAAUGCUGUUCAUUGACUACAGCUCAGCAUUCAACACCAUUGUACCCUCCAAACUCAUCAUUAAGCUUGAGGCCCUGGGUCUCAACCCUGCCCUGUGCAACUGGGUCCUGGACUUUCUGACGGGCCGCCCCCAGAUGGUGAGGGUAGGAAACAACAUCUCCACCCAGCUGAUCCUCAACACGGGCCCCUCCUGUACUCCCUGUUCACCCAUGACUGUGUGGCCUCCAACUCAAUCAUCAAGUUUGCAGACGACACAACAGUGGCAGGCUUGAUUGCCAAGAAUGAGGAGACAGCCUACAGGGAGGAGGUGAGGGCCCCCGGAGUGUGGUGUCAGGAAAAUAACCUCUCACUCAACAUCAACAAAUCAAAGGAGAUGAUCGUGGACUUCAGGAAACAGCAGACUGAGCACCCCCCUAUCCACAUUGACGGGACAGAAGUGAAGAAGGUGGAUAUUUUUAAGUUCCUUGGCGCACACAUCACGGACAGACUGAAAUGGUCCACCCACACAGACAGCAUGGUGAAGAAUGUCGUAACAGGCCCUCUUCAACCUCAGGUGGCUGAAGAAAUUUGGUUUGUCACCUAAAACCCUCACAAACAUAUACAGAUCAAAUCAAAUCAAAUCAAAUUUAUUUAUAUAGCCCUUCGUACAUCAGCUGAUAUCUCAAAGUGCUGUACAGAAACCCAGCCUAAAACCCCAAACAGCAAACAAUGCAGGUGUAAAAGCACGGUGGCUAGGAAAAACUCCUAGAAAGGCCAAAACCUAGGAAGAAACCUAGAGAGGAACCGGGCUAUGUGGGGUGGCCAGUCCUCUUCUGGCUGUGCCGGGUAGAGAUUAUAACAGAACAUGACCAAGAUGUUCAAAUGUUCAUAAAUGACCAGCAUGGUCGAAUAAUAAUAAGGCAGAACAGUUGAAACUGGAGCAGCAGCAGUCAGGUGGAAUGGGGACAGCAAGGAGCCAUCAUGUCAGGUAGUCCUGGGGCACUGUCCUAGGGCUCAGGUCCUCCGAGAGAGAGAGAAAGAAAGAGAGAAUUAGAGAGAGCAUAUGUGGGGUGGCCAGUCCUCUUUUGGCUGUGCCGGGUGGAGAUUAUAACAGAACGUGGCCAAGAUGUUCAAAUGUUCAUAAAUGACCCAGCAUGGUUGAAUAAUAGUAAGGCAGAACAGUUGAAACUGGAGCAGGAGCAUGGCCAGGUGGACUGGGGACAGCAAGGAGUCCUCAUGUCAGGUAGUCCAGAUGCACAAUCGAGAGCAUCCUGUCGAGCUGUAUCACCGACUGGUAAGGCAACGGCACCGCCCUCAACCGCAAGGCUCUCCAGAGGGUAGUGCGGUCUACACAACGCAUCACCAGGCGCAAACUACCUGCCCUCCAGGACACCUACAGCACCCGAUGUCACAGGAAGGCCAAAAAGAUCAUCAAGGGCGACAACCACCCGAGCCACUGCCUGUACACCCCGCUAGCAUCUAGAAGAACUGAGAGAUGGCCAGGCCAUGGUGGAAGACAUCGGCUGUUCACACCAGAACAGGAGACUUUUAUUGUGAACAUGGUGGUGGCAAACAGUACCAUUAGAUGCCGAGAAAUCCAGAACCACAUAAUUGCAGACAACACAAUAACAUUCACCAGGUGGGCUUGUCGACAUUGGACCCUGUUUUACAGCGCAACCGAUUCCGGAUGAAACGGGUCUGAGCGACACUCAGAUAGGGUUGAAGAACAGUGCUAUGAAUAUGUGCAAGUAAGUACUAUACUGUGAAUGUUUAGCCUGUUUAGCCUGGGAGAACAUGUCUUGUGAUGUAGAUGAGGUGCUGUUUAGCCAGGGAGAACAUGGCUUGUGAUGUAGAUGAGGUGCUGUUUAGCCAGGGAGAACAUGGCUUGUGAUGUAGAUGAGGUGCUGUUUAGCCAGGGAGAACAUGGCUUGUGAUGUAGAUGAGGUGCUGUUUAGCCAGGGAGAACAUGGCUUGUGAUGUAGAUGAGGUGCUGUUUAUCCAGGGAGAACAUGGCUUGUGAUGUAGAUGAGGUGCUGUGGCCAGACCAAAAUAGGAGGCAGGAUGCAGCCUAAUGUCAUUUUGCAUGUCUUUUUGUGUUUUUAAAGUUUGAGCCACUUUCAUUUUUAAUUUUUGUACAGAAAACCCUUUAGCUUACUGAAUGUUUUUCCUGGUUCUUCUCCUGUUGGGUAUGGGAAGUGUUACAUACAAAACACAACUUUACAAAAAACAACUUUGCAUUUUGGAAAUAAAUGGCAAUGUUUUUGCUAAUGUAUUGCAUCUGUGUGUUUAUUUAUGUACAUUUGAGCAGGUAUACAUUACUGUAACAAUAUUUUACAACCGGCUACAGUGUAACAUGGAAAUUGCAAAAAGCAUAAACUUACUGAAGGGAUAUUCAAAGUAGUGUUUUGUGCUGAGCACAUCAGUGUGUUGGUUGGUAGACAGAUCUAUUCAUAUAAUGCGUGUGUCAUUUUGAUUUUUUUUAAAACAUUUUGGAAAGAACAGUUUUUAAACAGAUUUGUAGAGUUGUGUUUUGAGAUUUGGGGAAAAUGGGCCAAGGAUUCAGCAAACGUGUUAAAAAAAAAAUAAAAUGUGGAAAACUAACAGUUGCUUAAUUGUGUAUGUUCAUUGCUGUUAUUGCCCGUUAUUAUUUGUACCUUUCUAUCUCCUUUUAGAUACUAUAGUCCACACAAACUAAGUCUCAUUUCAAGACAAAAGUCAUGUCAACAACUGUCUCUCAUUCUCUGCCCUGUAUCAUCUCCAUUGCCUGAAUCUAUAAAGACUCUUAAACUGAACUGCAUCUCUGCCUCCGCCACGGUAGAUGGGCAUCACCUUAACCCUCGCCUAAACCUCAAUCAGUUUCAAUCAUAUAACUCAAUAAUAUUGUGUGACAGGUUAUGAACCAAGCCUGGAAGGUCCUUUGGUUGUGUAUAUAGGCAGUACGGCAUCAUUUCAGUGAGCAACCAUUUUGUGACCAUGCUGCCUUUGAAGUAAUGUUUGGGAUGUGGUCGAUUGUUCCCAAUUCUAUGCGUGGAGUUUGACCAUCAUUGACUUUAUUCACGUGUGACAAUAUAUAUGAUGUUCAUUAUUUAAAGCCACUGCAUAAAUGUCCUCCUGUUGUCACUUGGUUUGUUAGAGGCUUUGCUGGUUUGAGAUCCAGGCAGUUACUGGCAGCGCCCUCCAAGAAGGUGACUGUCUUUUAAAUAAACUAAUUUGUAUUUUUUUUUUAAUACAGUGCUAACCAUUUAUUUUCUACCAUCAGAAGAACAGCAUUGUUAGUCACUUUAGUCAUCUUUUGAACUUGGUCAGCUGAAUCUGAGAAAAUGCUGUUGCAUUUCAGAAAGCUAUCAAGUAACAGAUCUAAGUCAUUUUGAUGUACUCUAGUGUGUUCUGUCAAACAAGCAAAUCUAGUCCUCUAAGCUUUAAUGUUUCCCUUUAAUGGGCCUAGAACCUGUCUAAUGUUUAGAAUAUGCAGUGUUUGGUUUUUGCCAGACAUAAUGGGACACAUCUAUUUCAAAAAGUAGACUCAGGUUUUCCAAUGAAGCACCUAGAUGAUCAUCAAGACUCUUGGAAGAUUGUUCUAAGUACAGAUGAGUCAAAAGUAUAACGUUUUGGACAACAUGGGUCCCAAUAUGUGUGGUGAAAACAACACUGCAUUCCACAGUAAGAAUCUUAUCACAGUCAAGUCUGGUUGUGUUAUGGUUUGGGGAUCCUUUGCUGCCUCAAGACAUGGAAGACUUGCCUUAAUAAUAGAAGGAAUGAUGAAUUCUGCUCUGUAUCAGAGAAAUCUACAGGAGAAUG